UACGGAGAGGGCUAGCGUUAUUCGGAAUUAUUGGGCGUAAAGGGCGCGUAGGCUGGUUAAUAAGUUAAAAGUGAAAUCCCGAGGCUUAACCUUGGAAUUGCUUUUAAAACUAUUAAUCUAGAGAUUGAAAGAGGAUAGAGGAAUUCCUGAUGUAGAGGUAAAAUUCGUAAAUAUUAGGAGGAACACCAGUGGCGAAGGCGUCUAUCUGGUUCAAAUCUGACGCUGAAGCGCGAAGGCGUGGGGAGCAAACAGGAUUAGAUACCCUGGUAGUCCACGCUGUAAACGAUGAGUGCUAA
RNAcentral lists this ribosomal RNA (296 nucleotides) under Wolbachia pipientis. RNAcentral describes it as "partial 16S ribosomal RNA". It matches the Rfam family "Bacterial small subunit ribosomal RNA", at positions 524 to 819 of the family's 1533-position model. The record is from RNAcentral. Lineage: Bacteria; Pseudomonadati; Pseudomonadota; Alphaproteobacteria; Rickettsiales; Anaplasmataceae.